GAUGAAGAACGUAGCGAAAUGCGAUAAGUAAUGCGAAUUGCAGAAUCCGUGAGUCAUCGAAUCUUUGAACGCACAUUGCGCCCUCUGGUAUUCCGGAGGGCAUGCCUGUUCGAGCGUCAUUAUCACCCCUCAAGCCCGGCUUGUUGUUGGAUGCAGCGCUUAUCCCGCUCCUCCCAAAGAUAAUGACGGCGUCUGCGACGACUCCUGUACACUGAGCUUUCGGGCACGUACACGGCUAGAAGUCCAGACCCGGUCGCCGUUCCCCCCGCGGGGACACCCAUUACCACAAGGUUGACCUCGGAUCAGGUAGGAAUACCCGCUGAACUUAAGCAUAUCAAUAAGCGGAGGA
This 349-nucleotide unclassified non-coding RNA is filed under the name soil metagenome. Its description in RNAcentral is "partial contains 5.8S ribosomal RNA, internal transcribed spacer 2, and large subunit ribosomal RNA". The stretch from base 1 to 119 matches the Rfam family "5.8S ribosomal RNA", at positions 35 to 154 of the family's 154-position model. The record is from RNAcentral.